RNAcentral lists this long non-coding RNA (2133 nucleotides) under Salmo trutta (river trout). Its description in RNAcentral is "lncRNA (ENSSTUG00000007455.1)". Lineage: Eukaryota; Metazoa; Chordata; Actinopteri; Salmoniformes; Salmonidae. The record is from RNAcentral.
UGGUUCUGGGUCAGAAUGGCUGAAGGGUGACUUACAACACUCAGAAUAUCUGUGCCUUGAAGAGGUCAACAGUGAAUCUGACCUGCUCUUACACGUAUCCCAGAGGUCAUACAGUCACAGAGACAUCAUGGUUCUAUAGAUGGUCUGUUGUGAAACCUCAGAAUGAUGAUCGUGUGGAGUACUAUGGGGACAGAGUGAAUGACUGCACCCUGAGAAUCACAGACCUGAGAGAGAGCGACUCAGCUGAGUACUGGUUCACAUUCGAGACUCAGAUCCUACAAGGUCAUGUCUUUCAAAGUGUGAGAAGUGAGAGCUAUUCUGGCAGUCCUGGAGCCAGGCUGUCCGUCACAGGCCUGAAGGCAAAAUGUCAAACUAUAGUGACAGAGGGACAGGCUGUGACACUGACCUGCAGCACCACCUGUACUCUGACUGACAACCCCAACCCCACCUACAUCUGGAACAAGAACAGACAACGUCUCACAAACCCAAAUACCAAAAUAACUAGCUGUACCUAGACCCAGUCAGCAGUGAGGAUACAGGCAGAUACUCCUGCGCUGUAAACGGCCAUGAAAAUCCCCCCUCUGCUGAACAGACUCUCGCUGUCAGAUAUGGCCCAAAGAGUAUCAGUCAGUCCUUCUGGUAAAAUAGUGGAGGGCAGUUCAGUGACUCUGACCUGCAGCAGUGAUGCCAACCCACCUGUGGACAAAUACACCUGGUACAAGAAGAAUGUAACCUCACCAAAAGCAUCAGGGCAGAGUUACAGCAUCACUAACAUCAGCUCUGAGGACAGUGGAGAAUACUACUGUGGGGAUGAGAAUACGAUUGGAGCCCAGAUAUCUACACCUCAAUUGAUCAUUGUAGCCAGUAAGAUGUGUUUUUAUUUAAAAUUUCAAGUUACACUAUCAGAUAACAUUCAUAUCAUUCUUUAUGCUUUAGGGAAACAAGCUUCUGUGAAGAAUGCAUCUGUAGGAAUCAUAGUGGUUGUUCUGGUUCUCAUCCUCUGUCUCUCUGUCCUCAUGUGGUUCAGGAAGAAGGCCUCCAAAUCCAUCUCCGACACAAGAGACAGAAGAGACACAGUAGAGAAUGGACAGCAAGACUCUAGUCCUGUGUAUGACAACGUCUCAGGCAUGGCCAUGACCCAUACUGCAGCACCGACAGUGGACACAGACAACCAGGAUAGCGUUCACUACGCCAGCAUCCAACACAGAAACCAGGAAGUGCCUGAAUACUCCACUGCCCAACCGUCUCAACCCCAAAAACAGGAGGAGGAUGUCCAGUACGCUGCUGUGAAAUAUAACCACAACAGUGCUGUUGACAUGCCAGUAGAGACCACUGUGGUACAGUACACUGGAAACACCAGGUUUUAGUGUAGCUGGUGAGACAUACAAAAGUAAAGAGAAAUAAGCCAAUUGUUAUGGACGAAUUAUAGGGAUAUUUUCCAACUAUUCUUCUUGUAUAAUAUGUUUGCUCCAAAAAUGCAUUUCUUGUAAAGACCUUCACUGACGUUUUGGUUGUUAGGAAGAGGCCUCAUGAAGACAGGACGUCAGCUCUGCAUCCCAAUUUUAGUCCCUCAGUACUUCUAGUUGGUGUCAACCUCAGACAUCACAUUAUUCUGUUUCACACUGUCAGUAGGUCCCCUGCCAAACCUCUCUCUCUUCACCUUGUAUCACUUGAUAAUAUAUUAUACUGAACCAUACCAUGUUCUAGUUUAUUAGAUAUUUUUGCAAUAUGAACGCUUGCUUCUGAACAUCAUUUAAAAAAUGUCCAUUUGGUGUGUGGUUUCAUACAUUUUGUUUUGUUCAGCAUUGCUGAUUCCAUAUAAAUGUUUUAAUAAAGACUGUUUAAAAAAGUAUAGUUGAGUACGUAGAGAAGACCAGGAUAUGUUGUUGGCCUGGGUCCCAAUACUCAAUGUUAUAGUCAUGGUCCUGAGAACAGAGACCAGGAUAUGUUGUUGGCCUGGGUCCCAAUACUCAAUGUUAUAGUCAUGGUCCUGAGAACAGAGACCAGGAUAUGUUGUUGGCCUGGGUCCCAAUAUUCAAUGUUAUAGUCAUGGUCCUGAGAACAGAGACCAGGAUAUGUUGUUGGCCUGGGUCCCAAUACUCAAUGUUAUAGUCAUGGUCCUGAGAAUAAAAC